UACGGAGGGGGCUAGCGUUGUUCGGAAUUACUGGGCGUAAAGGGCGCGUAGGCGGCUUGUUUAGUUGGGCGUGAAAGCCCCGGGCUCAACCCGGGAUGUGCGUUCAAUACUGGCAGGCUUGAGUCCGGGAGAGGAUGGUGGAAUUCCCAGUGUAGAGGUGAAAUUCGUAGAUAUUGGGAAGAACACCGGUGGCGAAGGCGGCCAUCUGGACCGGCACUGACGCUGAGGCGCGAAAGCGUGGGGAGCAAACAGG
Molecule: unclassified non-coding RNA, 253 nt
Filed under: uncultured Alphaproteobacteria bacterium
Lineage: Bacteria; Pseudomonadati; Pseudomonadota; Alphaproteobacteria
Description: contains 16S-23S intergenic spacer region
Rfam family: Bacterial small subunit ribosomal RNA
Source: RNAcentral